ACUUUUUCAAGUAGCUUCUUUUGAGUUCUUCCAUUGGUUCUAAGUCUCUGUUGCCAUGAUGGAGUGGGCCUAUAGAUAUUACUAAAGGCAUGUAGACAUCUUUGCUUUUGCAUGGUAGAUAGACAAGAACUCUAUAGAUGCAAUGUCCUUCUUUCGAGACAGAUGUGUCCAACAUCUAUCUAAUGGAAGCUACCAAUAAAAUAUAGGGAUUUUCUAUAUUUAUUGGAGCUUCAUUGUUUCCUACCCUUCUCCUUUCAACUUGUGUGAGCUUCAGUUAAGAAGAAAAAUGUUUGAAAAAUAAGAAAAAUUAGAAUUUAAUUCAUCCAAAUUAAAUGCAUAAUACUGAAAUUAAUUUUUAAUUAAAACAUAGAAAAGUGGGGAGUUUAAUAUCUUGCAUUUUGCUAUGACUUUUUGCUUACUUUUAACUAGGCCAUGUCAAUGGGCCGGGUCUGGUCGGGCUUUAAAGAGGAGAGAAAAAAUAACGGGCCAAAUUGGGCCAAACUUUUUUAGAAAAUUCGAAGCUCAAGCCCAGUCCAUGGGCUAGGCUUGAGAAAGCCCAUCGAGUCGGGCUGAGCUGAAAUGGGCCUACUUUAUUUUGUCUUAUUUUUUUGGUCAAUUCUUUAUUUUUUUUCUUCUAUGUUUCUUUGUUUUUUCUUAGUUCUAUAUUUACAAUUGUCUAUAUGUUUAUGUCUCCAUUUUUUUCUUUGUUUAUAACUUCAUAAUUCUUUUUAUUUUUAUUUUUCAUAAAUAUGAAGAUAUAGUUAUACAAUCGCCAUAUUAAUAAAAUAUUAUUUUAUCCCUUCAUUUUUUUUUUUAGUUCUUACAAUGAUAAUAGAUAAUGAUUUUCUCCAUCUUUCAUUUAACUUGGUUUUUUUAUAUAUUUAUUUAUAUGUAUGUGAGCUCGCGGGUCGGGCUUUUAUGGGCAGGCCGAGCCGGGUUUUCUUGGGCUUAAAUGGGCAGGGCCGAGCCGGGUUUUCUUGGGCUUAAAUGGGCAGGGCCGAGCUUUAGACACUCAAGUCCAAGGGUGACCCACUCAAUGAAGGGCUGGGCCGGCCCAUGGCCCAUAACGGAAUGGGGUGGGCUUUUUCUCCAUGGGCCAAGCGGGCCAUUAUCGGCCCAUGGGCUCGCGAGCCUAAUGAUGACCCCUACUUUUAACAUCCCAACACAUAAUAUAUGGAUAAAGCAUAAACUUAACGAGAUUAUGGAACACAUGUACAGAAAACUCUGUUGAUUAUUAAUUGUACUAAAAAUUUGAACAAUAAUACCAUAACUGGUCAGCACCAUCUGGCCUCGCAUGCCCAAACAAGUGGACCACUCAUGUUGAUCCCCC
RNAcentral lists this long non-coding RNA (1330 nucleotides) under Prunus persica (peach). Its description in RNAcentral is "long non-coding RNA (PPER_LNC004375)". Lineage: Eukaryota; Viridiplantae; Streptophyta; Magnoliopsida; Rosales; Rosaceae. The record is from RNAcentral.